GGGCAGGGGCGGCAUGCUAUACAUGCAGUCGAACGCUUCUUUUUCCCCGGAGCUUGCUCCACCGGAAAAAGAAGAGUGGCGAACGGGUGAGUAACACGUGGGUAACCUGCCCAUCAGAAGGGGAUAACACUUGGAAACAGGUGCUAAUACCGUAUAACAAUCAAAACCGCAUGGUUUUGAUUUGAAAGGCGCUUUCGGGUGUCGCUGAUGGAUGGACCCGCGGUGCAUUAGCUAGUUGGUGAGGUAACGGCUCACCAAGGCCACGAUGCAUAGCCGACCUGAGAGGGUGAUCGGCCACAUUGGGACUGAGACACGGCCCAAACUCCUACGGGAGGCAGCAGUAGGGAAUCUUCGGCAAUGGACGAAAGUCUGACCGAGCAACGCCGCGUGAGUGAAGAAGGUUUUCGGAUCGUAAAACUCUGUUGUUAGAGAAGAACAAGGAUGAGAGUAACUGUUCAUCCCUUGACGGUAUCUAACCAGAAAGCCACGGCUAACUACGUGCCAGCAGCCGCGGUAAUACGUAGGUGGCAAGCGUUGUCCGGAUUUAUUGGGCGUAAAGCGAGCGCAGGCGGUUUCUUAAGUCUGAUGUGAAAGCCCCCGGCUCAACCGGGGAGGGUCAUUGGAAACUGGGAGACUUGAGUGCAGAAGAGGAGAGUGGAAUUCCAUGUGUAGCGGUGAAAUGCGUAGAUAUAUGGAGGAACACCAGUGGCGAAGGCGGCUCUCUGGUCUGUAACUGACGCUGAGGCUCGAAAGCGUGGGGAGCAAACAGGAUUAGAUACCCUGGUAGUCCACGCCGUAAACGAUGAGUGCUAAGUGUUGGAGGGUUUCCGCCCUUCAGUGCUGCAGCUAACGCAUUAAGCACUCCGCCUGGGGAGUACGACCGCAAGGUUGAAACUCAAAGGAAUUGACGGGGGCCCGCACAAGCGGUGGAGCAUGUGGUUUAAUUCCAAACAACCCGAAAAACCUUACCAGGUCUUGACAUCCUUUUACCACUCUAAAAAUAAAACUUCCCCUU
Molecule: ribosomal RNA, 1015 nt
Filed under: Enterococcus faecium
Lineage: Bacteria; Bacillati; Bacillota; Bacilli; Lactobacillales; Enterococcaceae
Description: bacterial SSU rRNA
Rfam family: Bacterial small subunit ribosomal RNA
Source: RNAcentral